AAACCAACCGGGAUUGCCUCAGUAACGGCGAGUGAAGCGGCAAAAGCUCAAAUUUGAAAUCUGGCACUUUCAGUGUCCGAGUUGUAAUUUGUAGAAGUAGUUUUGGGACUGGUCCUUAUCUAUGUUUCUUGGAACAGGACGUCAUAGAGGGUGAGAACCCCGUAUGAUGAGGCCCCCAGUCCUUUGUAAAACGCUUUCGAAGAGUCGAGUUGUUUGGGAAUGCAGCUCUAAGUGGGUGGUAAAUUCCAUCUAAAGCUAAAUAUUGGCGAGAGACCGAUAGCGAACAAGUACAGUGAUGGAAAGAUGAAAAGAACUUUGAAAAGAGAGUGAAAAAGUACGUGAAAUUGUUGAAAGGGAAGGGCAUUUGAUCAGACAUGGUGUUUUUGCAUGCACUCGCCUCUCGUGGGCUUGGGCCUCUCAAAAAAUUUCACUGGGCCAACAUCAAUUCUGGCAGCAGGAUAAAUCAUUAAGAAUGUAGCUACUUCGGUAGUGUUAUAGCUUUUUGGAAUACUGUUAC
RNAcentral lists this ribosomal RNA (517 nucleotides) under uncultured Hanseniaspora. RNAcentral describes it as "eukaryotic LSU rRNA". It matches the Rfam family "Eukaryotic large subunit ribosomal RNA", at positions 62 to 578 of the family's 3401-position model. Lineage: Eukaryota; Fungi; Ascomycota; Saccharomycetes; Saccharomycodales; Saccharomycodaceae. The record is from RNAcentral.